This 823-nucleotide ribosomal RNA is filed under the name Halobacterium salinarum. Its description in RNAcentral is "bacterial SSU rRNA". It matches the Rfam family "Archaeal small subunit ribosomal RNA", at positions 47 to 872 of the family's 1478-position model. Lineage: Archaea; Methanobacteriati; Methanobacteriota; Halobacteria; Halobacteriales; Halobacteriaceae. The record is from RNAcentral.
AGCCCUGCUAGUUGUGCGGGUUUAGACCCGCAGCGGAAAGCUCAGUAACACGUGGCCAAGCUACCCUGUGGACGGGAAUACUCUCGGGAAACUGAGGCUAAUCCCCGAUAACGCUUUGCUCCUGGAAGGGGCAAAGCCGGAAACGCUCCGGCGCCACAGGAUGCGGCUGCGGUCGAUUAGGUAGACGGUGGGGUAACGGCCCACCGUGCCCAUAAUCGGUACGGGUUGUGAGAGCAAGAGCCCGGAGACGGAAUCUGAGACAAGAUUCCGGGCCCUACGGGGCGCAGCAGGCGCGAAACCUUUACACUGUACGAAAGUGCGAUAAGGGGACUCCGAGUGUGAAGGCAUAGAGCCUUCACUUUUGUACACCGUAAGGUGGUGCACGAAUAAGGACUGGGCAAGACCGGUGCCAGCCGCCGCGGUAAUACCGGCAGUCCGAGUGAUGGCCGAUCUUAUUGGGCCUAAAGCGUCCGUAGCUGGCUGAACAAGUCCGUUGGGAAAUCUGUCCGCUUAACGGGCAGGCGUCCAGCGGAAACUGUUCAGCUUGGGACCGGAAGACCUGAGGGGUACGUCUGGGGUAGGAGUGAAAUCCUGUAAUCCUGGACGGACCGCCGGUGGCGAAAGCGCCUCAGGAGAACGGAUCCGACAGUGAGGGACGAAAGCUAGGGUCUCGAACCGGAUUAGAUACCCGGGUAGUCCUAGCUGUAAACGAUGUCCGCUAGGUGUGGCGCAGGCUACGAGCCUGCGCUGUGCCGUAGGGAAGCCGAGAAGCGGACCGCCUGGGAAGUACGUCUGCAAGGAUGAAACUUAAAGGAAUGGCGGG